Molecule: long non-coding RNA, 816 nt
Organism: Polistes dominula (European paper wasp)
Lineage: Eukaryota; Metazoa; Arthropoda; Insecta; Hymenoptera; Vespidae
Source: RefSeq, a predicted model, not a curated record
CAUAUAUAUGAUUAUUUUCUACAUUCCAUCAUUAAUUUCUUUUGUUUCAACGACACCCAUUGUGCAAUUGCUUCAAGAAACCAAUAAAGUAAAGCAAUUACUUAUUAUGACAUCAUCGCUUUAUAUAUACGUGUAUAUAGAUAUAGAUAUAUAAAGAACGGAAAUAAACAACAGGUGAUUCCAGGAUUCGAUGAAUGACGUAGUUCAUAAAAAUAUAUGUAUAUAAUAUCCAAUGAGAAGGAUUUCCCAGAAGUAUGACACAUUGUUUAAGAUUUCGUGCAAUGCUAUGAUUCGUGCAAAUUGAUGAUACAUAGAUAUACAUUUAAUGCGAUACGAAGAAAAAAAAACAAAUAAGGAAAGAAAGAAAAUUUGAGUAACGCGCAUACGCAAACGAUCUGUUCAUUUAACUGGAUCUCUUUAUGAGUACAAGAGAGAGACAAUAAUAAUAAUAAUAAUAAUAUUGAAUAAUACACUUGAUUGCAACAAGUUAAACGAUUGUUGCGAAAUAAAGAUAUAUGUGAAAAUUGUAAUAAUUGUUAGAUACAUUCUCCAUAUGUUGCACGUUUCUUGAAAUAAUGUAUAAAAGUUGAAAAGGAGGGAUAUAGGCAAAAGAUCACGUGGCAGUAACGCGCCAUCGAUAAGCGAGCUUGGUAAAUGUCAAGAGGAAAGGGGAAUACGGCGCGAACGUAUAUAAUCCUCCGCUCACGUUCCACCACCCAAUUCUGCUUGGACUUUGAACACGUGUACGUGCGUGCCUUCAGAAGAGGGAAAGUUUUUAUUUGUUUGGUGCGCUCAUUGUAUGGAGCGAGAGAAGAG